This 780-nucleotide ribosomal RNA is filed under the name uncultured fungus. RNAcentral's name for it is "eukaryotic LSU rRNA". The stretch from base 1 to 241 matches the Rfam family "Eukaryotic small subunit ribosomal RNA", at positions 1593 to 1831 of the family's 1831-position model. Lineage: Eukaryota; Fungi. The record is from RNAcentral.
UUGCUCUUCAACGAGGAAUGCCUAGUAAGCGCGAGUCAUCAGCUCGCGUUGAUUACGUCCCUGCCCUUUGUACACACCGCCCGUCGCUACUACCGAUUGAAUGGCUUAGUGAGGCGUUCGGACUGGCUCAGGGAGGUCGGCAACGACCACCCAGAGCCGGAAAGUUCGUCAAACUUGGUCAUUUAGAGGAAGUAAAAGUCGUAACAAGGUUUCCGUAGGUGAACCUGCGGAAGGAUCAUUACCGAGAUAGGGCCUCCGGGCCCGACCUCCAACCCCAUAUCUACCUUCUUAUGUUGCCUCGGUGGGCCGCCGCAAGGCCGUCGGCACUCGUGCUCUCGAGCGCCCGCCAGAGGACCAACCAAACCCUGCUCAUCGUAGACUUCUGAGUGAGAAACACAAUAACUUCAAAACUUUCAACAACGGAUCUCUUGGUUCUGGCAUCGAUGAAGAACGCAGCGAAAUGCGAUAAGUAAUGUGAAUUGCAGAAUUCAGUGAAUCAUCGAAUCUUUGAACGCACAUUGCGCCCCUUGGUAUUCCGAGGGGCAUGCCUGUUCGAGCGUCAUUACGACCAAUCAAGCUCUGCUUGGCCUUGGGCCGCGCCCCCGCGAGGGGACGGGCUCCAAAGAACUCAGCGGUGCCGCGAGGCCCCGAGGCGUAGUAAAUUUACAAACCGCUUCGUGGACCUUGCGAGCGCCCGCUCCCAACGACCAACAACCUCUAGGUUGACCUCGGAUCAGGUAGGGAUACCCGCUGAACUUAAGCAUAUCAAUAAGCGGAGGA